RNAcentral lists this ribosomal RNA (465 nucleotides) under Vreelandella stevensii. RNAcentral describes it as "partial 16S ribosomal RNA". It matches the Rfam family "Bacterial small subunit ribosomal RNA", at positions 338 to 795 of the family's 1533-position model. Lineage: Bacteria; Pseudomonadati; Pseudomonadota; Gammaproteobacteria; Oceanospirillales; Halomonadaceae. The record is from RNAcentral.
CCUACGGGGGGCUGCAGUGGGGAAUAUUGGACAAUGGGGGCAACCCUGAUCCAGCCAUGCCGCGUGUGUGAAGAAGGCCCUCGGGUUGUAAAGCACUUUCAGUGAUGAAGAACGCCUGGUGGUUAAUACCCAUCAGGAAAGACAUCACUCACAGAAGAAGCACCGGCUAACUCCGUGCCAGCAGCCGCGGUAAUACGGAGGGUGCGAGCGUUAAUCGGAAUUACUGGGCGUAAAGCGCGCGUAGGUGGCUUGAUAAGCCGGUUGUGAAAGCCCCGGGCUCAACCUGGGAACGGCAUCCGGAACUGUCAAGCUAGAGUGCAGGAGAGGAAGGUAGAAUUCCAGGUGUAGCGGUGAAAUGCGUAGAGAUCGGGAGGAAUACCAGUGGCGAAGGCGGCCUUCUGGACUGACACUGACACUGAGGUGCGAAAGCGUGGGUAGCGAACAGGAUUAGAUACCCUGGUAGUC